GACGAACGCUGGCGGCGUGCUUAACACAUGCAAGUCGAACGGAAAGGCCCUGCUUUUGUGGGGUGCUCGAGUGGCGAACGGGUGAGUAACACGUGAGUAACCUGCCCUUGACUUUGGGAUAACUUCAGGAAACUGGGGCUAAUACCGGAUAGGAGCUCCUGCUGCAUGGUGGGGGUUGGAAAGUUUCGGCGGUUGGGGAUGGACUCGCGGCUUAUCAGCUUGUUGGUGGGGUAGUGGCUUACCAAGGCUUUGACGGGUAGCCGGCCUGAGAGGGUGACCGGCCACAUUGGGACUGAGAUACGGCCCAGACUCCUACGGGAGGCAGCAGGGGGGAAUAUUGCACAAUGGGCGGGAGCCUGAUGCAGAAACGCCGCGUGCGGGAUGACGGCCUUCGGGUUGUAAACCGCUUUCGCCUGUGACGAAGCGUGAGUGACGGUAAUGGGUAAAGAAGCACCGGCUAACUACGUG
This 468-nucleotide ribosomal RNA is filed under the name uncultured bacterium. RNAcentral's name for it is "partial 16S ribosomal RNA". It matches the Rfam family "Bacterial small subunit ribosomal RNA", at positions 28 to 507 of the family's 1533-position model. The record is from RNAcentral.